AAGUACCCUUUAGUCAACUCCAUUAUUUGAGCAACAUGUUUUCUUCCUCUUCCUAUCCAUCUAACGUGAACUUCUUUCUUCUUCUCCUCCAUUUUAACUUGAGCCUCUCUUUCUCUUCUCUUUGUUUUCUUCACUUAUACUCACUAAAUCCACCAAUUUGACACCAUUCAACUUGAUCUAAUUAAUCAAUCUUUGAGAUUAAAGCUUGAGAAAUGAUAUUUGGUGAAUAAUUUCAAGUAAUUUGGAGGACAAAGGGUGGAGAACUUCCUACCAAAGACAAGGGAAAACUAAGGCAUCAAGAGUCUUAUUUAAGCUUGUUAGAGCUUAUGUUUAAGGUAAGUGUUCAUAAAUCCUCUUACCUUGUUUAAAUUUUUGAUUUUGUGAAGUUUAUACUAUUUUGUGAAAAUUGGAAAUUUUAUAUGAAAUAAUUUGAUUAUUGAAUUUUGGUGGUAUAAAUGUGUUCUUGGGAGAUUUCUAAGCAUGCUUAUAUGUUGAAUUGAUGAGGAAAACAUUUUCUUCUUCAUCCUCCAAGAGUGGCAGAACCUAUUGAUGAAUAAGGCCUUAAGUUUUCUUGUUAUUAUUUGUGGAUUUAUGAUCUUAAGAUGAUAUUUGAUGAGUAUUUAGUAUGUGGUAGAAAUCUCUACCUUGUAUAUGAUUUAAGUAAGCUGAAAUUAGGAAAAAAUGUUAUUGGGUGUGAUUAAGGACUAUAUUUCGAUCCCUUGCAUUUCCCAUUAGUGUCUGAGUCCUUCAUGAAAGUUGUAGGUCUGCUCCUUAGCUUUCCAACCCAUCCUCUUGUGUCCAAGUUGGAUACAUAUAGCUCAACUUAUGGCUAAAACACCUAAACUAACUCUGUUAUGACGGGCCACAUGCAUUACUGAAUUGAGUGCCCAUUUUGACCACUAUAAUGGUAAUAUUAUGUUCUGAGUUCUUCAUAACAGUUGUUUCCCUGUGUCUUGAGACUUCUCUGGUUUUGGAUUGGUUUGAUUUGAGUGUUUGGAUAAGUAGGAAUUUGAUAAACAUUGAAAUUAGUUCGGCUGAAUCAGGUCUAGACUGUUGGUCUGUGUUCCUAGCUUUUGUUUGCCACAUUCAUAUUGAUCUGGGCUGUUGUCCCUCCAUAAUGUUUGUAGCAUUUUGUCUUAGCUUUCUAAUGAAUCAAACAUCACUCAAUUUGGAGACACAGAACUUAAGUUAUGUCUUAAAAACCCAGCAAAGGUCAAGAUUAUAUUAAUGCUGGAAAUUUUCUAUGUCAUGAAUCAUAGGUUUAUUUGGAUAAAUGNNN
RNAcentral lists this long non-coding RNA (1279 nucleotides) under Jatropha curcas. RNAcentral describes it as "long non-coding RNA (JCUR_LNC002397)". Lineage: Eukaryota; Viridiplantae; Streptophyta; Magnoliopsida; Malpighiales; Euphorbiaceae. The record is from RNAcentral.